Molecule: long non-coding RNA, 351 nt
Organism: Schistocerca americana (American grasshopper)
Lineage: Eukaryota; Metazoa; Arthropoda; Insecta; Orthoptera; Acrididae
Exons: 3
Source: RefSeq, a predicted model, not a curated record
GUAGCAGCGCAUUAGCCCCAGAAUCAAGACACGCGGAGGAAGGAGCUCUCGUUGCACAGGUAUGGCGUUCGAGUUCCCAACAGAAGAGGAGAAGGCGCUUGUGCGACAGCAGCUGGGGACGAGCGAGGAAGAUAUCCGGCAGGCACUCGCCAACAUUCGCAACUGGCUGCAAGUACAGCCACACUUGCCCGAUGUCAUAGAUGACGAGCGGCUGGAACGCCUAUACAUCAGCUGUAAAUGCAGGACUGAGUGAGUGAAGCAGAUACUGGAUGCCACCUACACGCUGAAGAACAAGUUCCCCGAACUCAUGCUGAACAGAGACCCGCUAGGGGAAGACAUUAUCACAGCUUU